Long non-coding RNA from Gouania willdenowi (blunt-snouted clingfish), 1817 nucleotides. Ensembl lists it as uncharacterized. NCBI's taxonomy places the organism in Eukaryota, Metazoa, Chordata, Actinopteri, Blenniiformes, Gobiesocidae. The record is from Ensembl.
CAAAUAUUUGUUCCUUUCGUUGCUCAGGGUGAUUAAAGCCAACAAUUUAUUCUCUUCAUACCGCAGACCAAACCCGUUUACUCCAAAAAAGGAAGAAUGUUUGCUUCCUCAUUGCUCAGUUCAAGGGGCUGUCAUAUGCAUUAAGAAAACAAGUGAGCCAGAAAGAGAGGGAGAGAGCAGCGCGUGCUGUGGAUGUUUUCUUUACUCUGAAUCACUUAACGUUUUCCUGUUUCAAUGAUGGGACUUGUUAGUAGAGGACGAUCACUCUGGAAAUAUGUUCUGAUUUUUCUUUCUCUACAAAUCUGGGGAAGUCUUUCAGCAUCUACUUCCACAUCCUCUCCUCCACCCCCAAAGCUGGACAUCUACUUGAAUUUAGAGGAUGAUGUAAUUUUAGUCUGCAGAGCCCCCGAGGGUCACUAUGGACUUGUGUUCACACUGUAUCAGGAAAGAGAAGAGGUUGAUUCACAGUCCCUCCACUCAGAAGAAGCAGAGGUGCAGUUCACUGUCAGAAAAAGGGAAUCCAAAUCAGACCGACGUGAUCUUUUCUGCUGCCUGUACAAGAACCGGGAUGGUGUUUACAGUGGCUUCAGUACAUAUUUGGAAUUGACCCAUCAAACUGAUCCUGCCCCGACGCUGACAUCUUACCCUCCUCCAUUACUGUCUGUGGAACCGUCUACUGGCCUUGUUAAGCGUGGAGCCACGCUGUCCUUCAGCUGCACUGUCCCUGCUCACGCACUGCAGUCACAGUCUGACUCCAAUCAGCCAGUGACAUUCCUUCUGCUGAGGUCUGUGGAGCUUACUGUCGGAGCAUCUACUGUCCCACCUCCUGCUAGUCUGGUUUCAAACUCGCAGCCGGGAAUCUUCACUGUAAGUCCUGUGAGAGGAGAAGAGGAGGGCGAGUACUCCUGCGUCUACCAGAUCUCCAAAAGAAAAAGAUUAGUCAACUCAACAGUCAGUAAUGUGGUCAAAGUCACUGUUACAGAUGGCCUUCCUCUGCCCACCCUUGUUCUCCAGCAGCAGACAGAUGUGCUGUAUUUGCUCUGCAAAGGAUCUGCAGCAUAUCCCGGUGCUCUGUUCUCUCUCUUCCUGAUGCAUGACGAUGUACCCAUUGUUACACAGCGUAGCAAAGUGAUUGAGCAUCAAGCUACCUUUGCCAUUCCUGUUCAGGAUACACCACAGGCCCUGUACCAGUGCCAGUACAGUGUCCAACUAGGCGGGAAAUGGAGCUACUCGGAACGAAGCCAUUAUUUGGCUAUUAACAGAGGUUCAGAAAUCCCCACAACAACAUCACAAGAUGUGUCUGGUGUUGACUGGCCUCUGGUGCUCGGCUCUUUCUCUGCUGCAGUGUUGUUCAUCUCCUCAUUGGCUCUUAUAGUAGUCAUAGCUCACAGAAAAGUCAAAGCAGCAUCGCAAGAAAAGAAAAACAGGGAGCAGGCUCAAUUCUGGACCCACGUUCACUCUAAAGACCACGUUGUUGAUCUUACACUCAGUCGUACAAGUGUCACCUCUCAGGAAUGGAGCAGAGAGAACCACGAGUCAGCGUCCAGAUCCCCUCUGUGGAGCUCCCUGUCCACAUUCACCAGUCCCAUUCACUAGAGAUGUCUGCCCCCUCUGUGUAGAUACUUUAUGGGACUUUAUCAGUGUAGCAUCAGUUGGAGACACACAGCAGGACAGGAAGGAGUAUUUCCUCCGCUCAGUUCCUAUUCUCGCUUAGCAGUAAUGCAACCGGGCAGGAUGGGAUGCUUGUUUGAUCUCACACACUCACAAAUACAAAAUAUAUGAAUAAAGAAAUAUUUUUAUUUAACUUUUUAAAUGGU